Molecule: non-coding RNA, 117 nt
Filed under: Pan paniscus (pygmy chimpanzee)
Lineage: Eukaryota; Metazoa; Chordata; Mammalia; Primates; Hominidae
Also listed under: 1 other name
Source: Rfam by way of RNAcentral
GCCAGGCAUGGUGGCUCAUGCCUGUAAUCCUAGCACUUUGGGAGGCUGAGGCGGGUGGAUCACCUGAGGUCAGGAGUUUGAGACUAGCCUGGCCAACAUGGUGAAACCCUGUCUCUA